AAACAAUUAGUUUUCUGACGGAAACGGUUAGAAAACACAAGGAGGAACACAUAUUUCCACCCAUGUUCUCUACAGAAGCAAGCAAAAUAAUGACUAUGGAUGAAAGGAACAGAAGAUCUAUGAAAAUAACCCUUCGGAUGGUCUUCAAUCUGCAUGUACUACUGCAGUGUAAAACAUAGACUGCAAUUCUGCACUCACUUAUGAAUUGCUAUUAAUCUAGAGGAUUUACCAAGACACCAAUGGACACCAUUAUUUAAGUCUACAGGAACAAAAACACUAAAAGCAUGGAGUGUGACACAUAACUAUGUUAAAAUUCUCCAUUUAGUUUUUCAUAUGUACAUAUCAGUGCUCAUAGUCCAGUUAAUACCUAAAGAAAAAAAAAGACAAAAAAAAAAAAAAAAAAACUCUGAUGUGAGAUGAUGUUAAAGUAUUACUAAUCAGCCUUGCACAAAAUUGUCAAAUUUAAAAUGAAAUAAAAUCAAACAUGGGGCACAUUAUAUGACUGAAAA
This is a long non-coding RNA of Cyprinus carpio (common carp), 509 nucleotides long. RefSeq lists it as uncharacterized. The transcript is spliced from 2 exons. The record is from RefSeq and is a predicted model, not a curated record. NCBI's taxonomy places the organism in Eukaryota, Metazoa, Chordata, Actinopteri, Cypriniformes, Cyprinidae.